GCUGGAAUGGCCGAGUCGUUAAGGCGAUAGAUUUGAAUCCGGUUUUCUUGCAUAUCUAUUACUCUAUGAGUGCGUAGGUUCAAAUCCUGCUUCCAGCG
Molecule: non-coding RNA, 98 nt
Organism: Lentinula edodes (shiitake mushroom)
Lineage: Eukaryota; Fungi; Basidiomycota; Agaricomycetes; Agaricales; Omphalotaceae
Source: Rfam